GCUUCUUCAUCUUCUGAGCUUCAUCAUCAUUCCUUCUUCUUUCUUCCUCCCUUGGAUCUGCGAAAAACGUACGGUGAGUUUCGAGCUUCGACAAUAGUAGCUCCGGCAGCGGCGGUGACGACUUCAGGCUUCGUACUUCUCCGACUGCAUUUGCGGUGCGACCUUCAGAUCUGCGACCAUAGUACGACGAGCUUUCGACGACCAACGUACUCCAGCUAGCUAGCUUAUUCCUUCUUCUUCUUUGGAUUUACGACCAACGUACUCAUAUUCUCUUCACUCUUCGAAGAAGAAAGCCCGAAGUUGCUCGAAAGCUCGGCUAUUCCACCAGAUCUGAUCUCACACCGUCGUUCCACCACCGCCACCGCUCCAUCGAAGAAGAAGAAGAAGAAACUCCGGAGUAGCGCAAAAGCUCAGCCAUUCCACCAGAUCUGAUCUCACGUCGUUGUUCCGCCACUGCCACACGGUCGCCGCUCCAUCGAAGAAGAAAGCUCGGCCGCCAGAUCUGAGCUCUCAAGAGGAUGGGCUCGAGUGGCUCCCUCUUCUAGCUGCGGUUUCCGUGUAUAAUUCUCCCAGAAGGAUGAACUCGAAGAAAUCUUCAAUCUGCACAGUGGGGCAGCACUCCAUUCCUUAACUUUCCUCUUCCGCACUUCUAUUCGGUCAAAUGGGAGGAUGUAGAAAUAAAAAAUCCCAGUGAGAAGUGCCCAAAAAUUUCUCUCUUGCUCAACAAAAAAUUGCACAAAAGUUCUACUCUUUCCAGUUUAGUUCAGGUUGUUUUCCUGAAAUCUUGAAGACACGGGGGAUUUAAUAUAUUGACAGAGGAAGGAGAAGCAAUUUCUGUCGCCAGUGGGCAGCAAGGAUGCUAUAAGAUUCCCUAAAGAAAAUGGAAAUAGCAAGGAAAAAGGUGUUAUACUUGAAAAACUCAAGCACUCAAAGAGUCAAAGGGGGAAGAACAUGGCGAUAGAGGUAGUGGUUGUGAUGAAAAGCUGUGAUUUCUAGCAUAGAAGAGAAGAAAUGUGUUUGAAGGUGUCAAGUCCAUCACCCCAAGGGCAAACUAUAUUAAGAGAACCCUAGCUGGAGAAUAUCUCACAUCUGCCUUAAAUGAUUUUGGUCCUGAACAAUAUGACAGCCUUGCUGGCUGCUGCUAUAUCUGAUGGAGCAAACAAGCUUUUAAUGUUGGUAUGGUUAUUUUACUCUAUCAUAUACUCAUUUAGUAAUUUUGACUAAAGUAUGUGUUCCAACUCCAAUUAAAGUUUAAGCUAUUUGUAAGAAUACACAUGUCACAGCAUUAUCUUGUUUAGAGUAAGUAAUCUUUAAUUGUAGUUUUAGAUCAAGAAUGAAGUGUUCCAUUCUUAAUGAAUCUCAUCAUUUUUUAAAAAUAU
Molecule: long non-coding RNA, 1379 nt
Organism: Ipomoea nil (Japanese morning glory)
Lineage: Eukaryota; Viridiplantae; Streptophyta; Magnoliopsida; Solanales; Convolvulaceae
Exons: 5
Source: RefSeq, a predicted model, not a curated record